ACCUUUCAUCACGAGAUUACCGCGCAUCACUAUUUCUCCGAUCGUUUUUCCAUCAGCGGCGACGGGCUCACCAGUUUGGCUACUGAUGACAUCUAGGCCCUCUAAGCCAAUGUAUCGGACACCUUGACGUGCAUUUAAGCGAGCUUGGGUUUCAGGUGGCAACGAGUCCCAUUCAGGCUUCCAUGCACACACCGUUGAAGGACCAUAGGUUUCUGAGAGACCAUAUGUGUGGGUGACACGGAAACCUUUUUGAGACAUUGCGAAGAGAACAGCAGAGGGUGGGGCAGCACCGGCUGUCAUUACGUGAACCACAUGAGGAAGGGGCAGAAUUGUGUCCUCGGAUGGGGCGUUAACUAUGGAAUUGAGCACCACAGGUGCAGCACAGAAGUGAGUCACGCCAUACUUCGCUAUGGCUGAGUAGACGCCCUUUGCUGUUACCUGCAAAUGCAAAAGAAACAAACUCGGACAUAAGCAAGUAAGACGCUAUGACCAUAGCUAAUGGAGAUUUAAGAGUGAAAACAUUAGCAUCAAGACUGAAUUUAUAAGGGAUAAAAGAACGCUCAGAGUCUCAAAUCAUGACAUGAAUGAAAGCAGAACAUCGGAAGGCCUCAUAGCACAAUAUGACUAUACUGAAUACACAGCUUCCAGGUUUCAACAUAGUUAUGCACAUUAGCAUCGAACAUCGAAGUACAAGGGAUGUAAUAAGUCUCAAAUGAUGACAUGAAUGAGAGUAGAAAAUCGGAAGGCCUUGUAGCACGGUAGGAUUAUACCGAAUAUACACCUUCGAGAUUUUGACAUAAUUAUACCUUGAGCUAGAUCGAUAGAUGAUUCGAGAACAAAUAAGCCAAUCUGUUUCAUAAACCAAAGUGAAAGCGACAAAAUUAUUUUGCCUACUAAUUACCUGUCUAAGGCAUAGGUUUGUUCCGCAAAGAGCUGCAAGUGCCCAAGUAAAACACCAUCCAUUACAGUGGAACAUGGGUAGUGUCCACAAGUAUAUGACUCCUUCAUUCAUGCCCCAUAUAAGAGGAUUACUCAAAGACAUGAGAUAUGCACCACGGUGAUGUAACACGACCCCUUUAGGG
This 1082-nucleotide long non-coding RNA is filed under the name Gossypium barbadense (sea-island cotton). Its description in RNAcentral is "long non-coding RNA (GBAR_LNC019246)". The record is from RNAcentral. Lineage: Eukaryota; Viridiplantae; Streptophyta; Magnoliopsida; Malvales; Malvaceae.